Molecule: ribosomal RNA, 493 nt
Filed under: uncultured bacterium
Lineage: Bacteria
Description: bacterial SSU rRNA
Rfam family: Bacterial small subunit ribosomal RNA
Source: RNAcentral
GAUCCUGGCUCAGAUUGAACGCUGGCGGAAUGCUUUACACAUGCAAGUCGAACGGUAGAGGGGGCAACCCUCGAGAGUGGCGAACGGGUGAGUAAUAUAUCGGAACGUGCCCAGUCGUGGGGGAUAACGUAGCGAAAGUUACGCUAAUACCGCAUACGAUCUACGGAUGAAAGCGGGGGAUCGCAAGACCUCGCGCGAUUGGAGCGGCCGAUAUCAGAUUAGGUAGUUGGUGGGGGUAAAGGCUCACCAAGCCAACGAUCUGUAGCUGGUCUGAGAGGACGACCAGCCACACUGGAACUGAGACACGGUCCAGACUCCUACGGGAGGCAGCAGUGGGGAAUUUUGGACAAUGGACGCAAGUCUGAUCCAGCCAUUCCGCGUGCAGGAUGAAGGCCCUCGGGUUGUAAACUGCUUUUGUACGGAACGAAAAGGUUUCUAUUAAUACUAGGAGCUCAUGACGGUACCGUAAGAAUAAGCACCGGCUAACUACGUG